This 82-nucleotide transfer RNA is filed under the name Candidatus Liptonbacteria bacterium RIFCSPLOWO2_01_FULL_53_13. RNAcentral describes it as "tRNA-Leu". It matches the Rfam family "tRNA". From Rfam's summary of the family: Transfer RNA (tRNA) molecules are approximately 80 nucleotides in length. Their secondary structure includes four short double-helical elements and three loops (D, anti-codon, and T loops). Lineage: Bacteria; Candidatus Liptoniibacteriota. The record is from RNAcentral.
GGGCGGGUAGCCGAAUUGGUACAGGCGCACGGCUUAGGACCGUGUUUCGCAAGAUAUGUGGGUUCGAGUCCCACCCCGCCCA